AUUGAACGCUGGCGGCAGGCCUAACACAUGCAAGUCGAGCGGAUGAAGGGAGCUUGCUCCUGGAUUCAGCGGCGGACGGGUGAGUAAUGCCUAGGAAUCUGCCUGGUAGUGGGGGAUAAGGUCCGGAAACGGGCGCUAAUACCGCAUACGUCCUGAGGGAGAAAGAGGGGGAUCUUGGGACCUCACGCUAUCAGAUGAGCCUAGGUCGGAUUAGCCAGUUGGUAGGGUAACGGCCUACCAAGGCGACGAUCCGUAACUGGUCUGAAAGGAUGAUCAGUCACACUGGAACUGAGACACGGUCCAGACUCCUACGGGAGGCAGCAGUGGGGAAUAUUGGACAAUGGGCGAAAGCCUGAUCCAGCCAUGCCGCGUGUGUGAAGAAGGUCUUCGGAUUGUAAAGCACUUUAGGUUGGGAGGAAGGGCAGUAAGUUAAUACCUUGCUGUUUUGACGUUACCAACAGAAUAAGCACCGGCUAACUUCGUG
This 484-nucleotide ribosomal RNA is filed under the name uncultured bacterium. RNAcentral describes it as "partial 16S ribosomal RNA". It matches the Rfam family "Bacterial small subunit ribosomal RNA", at positions 30 to 507 of the family's 1533-position model. The record is from RNAcentral.